UCAAAGGCUGUAACAGGGAGAUGGAGCAGGCCUGUGCUGGGAGAAAAAGCUUGAGCACAAAUAUACAGAACUGAGGAAAACCUGUAUAUGAAUGGUAGUGAAGGCAGACUGGUUGGUGCUUACAGAGGGAGCAGGGGGAGGUAUGGUAUAAAAGUAAGCUGCAGUACUCAUUUCACAGGACUUUCUGGUGGCUAUGUCUAUGUUUCAGAAGCAGCAGCCAGAUACUGUUGGUCCCUGGCUCAUUUGCACAGUCUAGGGAUGAGUGGAUUGGUGACUCUUCCAGCCCACUUCCUCUUCAGGACCCAUUUUAAAUAUGUGCCGUUGCUGUCCUGCCCAGUGAAACCCAGCAGAUUCUGUGAAGGGCUGACAACCUAAGGAGAAAGAGGUCAGUUCAGCCUUCCUAUUCAUCAAGGCUGAUUCAUUAAUGAUUAGUGCCAUUAGGUGUACUACAGCAGUGCCUGAGGGCCCCAAUUAAAGGAAAGUGAGGUUGUUAAAUCCAGAAAGCCAGAUUCUCCCUCUGUUACUCCUGCCUGAUGCAGAGGUAGUGUACCCAGGGUGGGCAGCAAGAAUAAACCCGGCUUUCUAGGUAUGCAGCCUCUGUGCCUUUCCCCCUCACUCCUCCCACUUUUCCCUCUCCUUCACCUUAGCUGCAGAUCUUGCCUACAGGGUGCUGCAGAGCGAGGCUAGUGCAGGAGUUGGCUACCAGGACUCGCAGGAGGAGGUGGCAAAUCAGGUUAUUUUUCUGAGCCACUUCAUUUUUCAUCACAAGUGGGUUUGGGUGGUUUUUUUUGGUUUAUUGGGGUUUUUUUGUAGGUUUUCUUUUUGGCAGGGUUGGGGGCAGGCGAAGUGAUAAGGACUGCAGAGGAGUCUGUUACAAAAUCAGAUACGAUUUUAGCUGUCUGAAAGAGUUCCUUUAGGCUACAGGCAGCUGAUGAUCAAUGGUGCUGUUGGCAAAUGUGCUUCCAGCUGGCUGCUGCCUUUCUUGAGGGACAGUUUCAAUCCAAGGCUCAUUGCAAUCGUGAUACCACAAGGGGCAUUCAUUUACUUUGGGCUAAGGAUCUUCUGCUGCCCAGUUCCACCAGUGCGAAGAAAAGCUGGAGGUGAUGUGGGAGAGUGACAACAGCACUGUUAUUGGUGAGUUAUUGGUUGUUCCUUUCCCCUCAGAUUCCCAUGGUGGGUCUGUGUAAAAGAUUUCACUCAAAGCCCCAUACUCCUGAACUGUGGGUUUGCUAACAGAUGGGCAGAUUGUGCUAGCAUAGGCUUUGCCUUUCAGGAGGUACUGAAAAAAUAGGUUUAAGUGCUUUAAAUUACCAGAAACCCAGCCUGUGGCCUGUGGCCUAGCUUUUUAGGCUUUAUUGUUUGUUUUAUUUUGUUUGUUUGCUUAUCUCCAAAGCUGAUAUAAAACAAAGACUGAAACAACCUCCUGAAGGUCAAGGUGAGACUGACCAUCAUCUGAGUGCUGAUAUUCACCAGCAGCAAUAAAUCCUUGUUCCCAGGCGCUGGAAGUCUCUUCAGCUAGAAAAACAACAUUACUGCAGGGCCAAACAACUAGUCCUGGCCUUUACACAGCCAUUCUUUGGGAAAAAGUAUCGCCUGAAGUCAAUAUGCAUUCUGCCUAGCUUUCAUCAGAAGAAAAAUGCCUGAAUUGAAGUGACAACAACAAAUAAUAGGUGUUGGUGAUUUGCACUCUCUCCACCUAAAUCAGAUAUCUGGCACAUCAAUACUUAGAAGGCUUAGGAGAAGAAGAAAACAUCAAUAUUUCACUGAACACACAAAGUCGCACAACUCCCUACAACUCCCAGUCUCCAUUUUAAUGUCCACCGUGGUUAGUUUGUUUUGGUCUUUUUCUGUCAGAUGACUGAUUUCAGUCUCUCUUUGAAUCCCAUCUGUGUGAAUAGCUUGUUUUUCUCCCUAGCAAGUGUUAACAAGGAACUGCAAGGAUUUUGUUCAGGCUCACCAGUCAGGCAACCCUGAGGUGGUUGACUUCUAGGAAAAGCCACAGCAGGAACAAGCGAGAGCCAGCCUACGCACCAGGCACAGCUUUUGCUGGUCUUUAGUUUAUGUUCCAACUCGUGCUCGUGUUAAAUGAAUCGCCAUUAGCAACUGCAAUACAGACAAAUGCAAGGAAGAACAAGCUGGACGCUUUAUCACGGAGCUACGCUUGGAAGUGAUGGCCCAUUGUAACACAGACUCAUCCACCACAGUGGAGCUGUUCCAGCUCACGGCAAUUUAGGACUUGCUGCGUUCACUUUAACCCCUGCUCUGAAGUUCCUGAUCUUAUCCUUUAUGUGAACUAGAUCAUGCAAAUGGGGGCACUGGAGUCGCAGGGAAGUUGAGUAGAGUUCCGCAUGAGCACUGGUGUGAGAAGGAGCAGCAAUUAGCUCUAAACUCACUCUGCUGGCCUGUCGUUUCCGAGCUCUGCCCCUGCUGCUCUGUAACUGGAAGACUUUCGCUCUAGAAGAUGGGGAGAAGAACAUUUUGCUCAUGCUCAUAUUAAUCAAGUCGUCUUAUGAGCUACUGAAUCUGUGAAAUUGUAUCUCCCGUGGAGUUCAGUGGUAAUGACUGUCUCUGAUGUGGACUCUCUGGUGUCUAAUAAUACAGUUUUGUUUCUGCAGUGAAUGCACUCCUAGCAUUUUUUCUCCUCUGUCUGCCUACUUCCACAGCACUUGUAGGCAGUUUAAACCUUUGAAACUUCUAUCCCCUGUCAAGUUUGAUCAAACUCAACUCACAAGCUCAAAAAAUUAUUUAGGAGGGACCGACUGGCACUUGCACAAGACAGUGUGAUCUCAUAAGCUUCCUUUCCUUGGGAAACUAGGCUACCAACCUAGCAACGGGGGGAAAAAAUGCCAUCCUGCUAGCAAAAAGGACCUAAACACUUGGAGGAAAAAGGAGAGAUGGGAGAGGAAAGUGAAGCUGUUUUGAAGGGAAAAAAAUAACUGCCUUGUGGUUGCAGAGCUCUCAUACACUUAAAGGGCCAACCUUGGAGAAACAUGCUGGAGAAAAUGUUCUCCAGGAGAUGAUAAGUUCUCGUGAAAAUUGGUAAGGGAGAGAAAUCACCUGGACUCAUCAUACCACCAGGCAUGCUAAAUGGAUAUCUAUAUGGUAAGAAUUGUCCCCAGUGGUACCUGUUUCUCUCUGUGGACUAGAGGAAGCCACAGAUACAACUAGCAUGCAACUCAUGUGCCUGCAGUAUCUAAAACAAGGUGGAUCCUACCCCAAAGGGAAUGGUCUUCUUACCACUCUGUCUUUCAGACCAAAGUUUUCCAUGGUGCUGCUGCAGGUUUUGUUACUUCAUGUACUAGGUUUGUAUGUUAGAAAAGCUGUUGUAUGUCUUAAUAGCUGCAGAUGCAUGCAUGGUUUUACUGGGCAUUUAUUAGCACUUAUCCUCUUUGCACUAAAACCUUUCUUGUUCUUGUACCUUAUGGAAUAAAAUUCUUUAAGUGAG
Molecule: long non-coding RNA, 3445 nt
Organism: Lepidothrix coronata (blue-crowned manakin)
Lineage: Eukaryota; Metazoa; Chordata; Aves; Passeriformes; Pipridae
Exons: 3
Source: RefSeq, a predicted model, not a curated record